CAAUAGCGUAUAUUAAAGUUGUUGCAGUUAAAAAGCUCGUAGUUGGAUUUGUGGCGUACGGUGUGUUCCGGGCACUUGUUGUCUGAGUAACCUGCUGUUGCCAUCCUUGGGUGGAACCUGUGUGGCAUUAGGUUGUCGUGCAGGGGAUGCCCAUCAUUUACUGUGAAAAAAUUAGAGUGUUCAAAGCAGGCUUAUGCCGUUGAAUAUAUUAGCAUGGAAUAAUGAGAUAGGACUUUUUUGCUAUUUUGUUGGUUUGCGCAAAGAGGUAAUGAUUAAUAGGGACAGUUGGGGGUAUUCGUAUUCCAUUGUCAGAGGUGAAAUCCUUGGAUUUUUGGAAGACGAACUACUGCGAAAGCAUUUACCAAGGAUGUUUUCAUUAA
This 380-nucleotide ribosomal RNA is filed under the name uncultured eukaryote. RNAcentral's name for it is "partial 18S ribosomal RNA". It matches the Rfam family "Eukaryotic small subunit ribosomal RNA", at positions 592 to 976 of the family's 1831-position model. The record is from RNAcentral.